UGACACUGCUCCCAUCUCCUCCUUCAACAUUCUCAGCACCCGAAAUUAUACUUCAACACAAGGUCCUCCCCUUACCUGAUUGAAGACCCAAUCUCUUCUCACUCCCUCAACAAUCGAUUGGACAUAACUCCAACCACCGCAGUCCCUCCAUUGAAAACCUACUGGCCACAAUCGUCUCCUUUAUUGAACUUGUACUGCAUCAAUCUAGCAUCAUCACCUAGUCCAAA
Molecule: unclassified non-coding RNA, 227 nt
Filed under: Hevea brasiliensis (rubber tree)
Lineage: Eukaryota; Viridiplantae; Streptophyta; Magnoliopsida; Malpighiales; Euphorbiaceae
Source: RNAcentral